GAUGAACGCUAGCUACAGGCUUAACACAUGCAAGUCGAGGGGAAACGAUAUUGGAAGCUUGCUUCCGAUAGGCGUCGACCGGCGCACGGGUGAGUAACGCGUAUCCAACCUGCCCACCACUUGGGGAUAACCUUGCGAAAGUAAGACUAAUACCCAAUGAUAUCUCUAGAAGACAUCUGAAAGAGAUUAAAGAUUUAUCGGUGAUGGAUGGGGAUGCGUCUGAUUAGCUUGUUGGCGGGGUAACGGCCCACCAAGGCGACGAUCAGUAGGGGUUCUGAGAGGAAGGUCCCCCACAUUGGAACUGAGACACGGCCCAGACUCCUACGGGAGGCAGCAGUGGGGGAUAUUGCACAAUGGGGGAAACCCUGAUGCAGCGACGCCGCGUGGAGGAAGAAGGUUUCGGAUUGUAAACUCCUGUCGUUAGGGACGAUAAUGACGGUACCUAACAAGAAAGCACCGGCUAACUACGUG
This 471-nucleotide ribosomal RNA is filed under the name uncultured bacterium. Its description in RNAcentral is "bacterial SSU rRNA". It matches the Rfam family "Bacterial small subunit ribosomal RNA", at positions 28 to 507 of the family's 1533-position model. The record is from RNAcentral.